GGACGGCGGCUUCUCUCAACGGCGCCACCAGAGGAAAUUGACCGGAGAUAAUCAGAAGCCGAUAAAUGGGACUUACGAUACGUGUAAUAGGAAGGAGUUCAGUUUUGCAAACUGUAUGAGCUGAUUCCUCCAAGGCAUGGCUGCCAAACUGCCUUUACCGAGCUGUCCCACAAUCUUUAAGCAUUUGAGUGUAGAUCAUACUAGAUCAAGAUUUAAUGGAGCUGUCUGCCUUUGGG
Molecule: unclassified non-coding RNA, 236 nt
Filed under: Hevea brasiliensis (rubber tree)
Lineage: Eukaryota; Viridiplantae; Streptophyta; Magnoliopsida; Malpighiales; Euphorbiaceae
Source: RNAcentral